UAUGCCUCUUUUGAAAACCUCAGGAGCCUCCCCUGAACCUCUAUGCCUAUACUGAAUGCAAGCAACAACUCUAGGCCAGAGGGCUUAAUGGGCAGUGUUUCAGCCACUGCCAGGAUAGCAGGCAGAACGGCACCUGAGGGCACACACUGAACCCUGUUUUUGGAUGAUGCAAUUGAAGCAGAAGCUCAUCUCUUUCGCCGUAAAUGGAGAUUUGCUUUGGGGACUUUGGAGGAGCACAGAAAUAGACCUACAUACAUGAAAAUUUCUUCUUCAGAAGAGCAAUUUUAUAAGAAAGUGAGUAUUUUGUGCAGAACAAAUGUAUAACUAAUUUCAAAGUAUUUGUAAUGUAUUCUGUAUGUAAAUUCUGUAAUGUAUUCUGUAAAUAUUAGUUUCUGUGGUGUUAUACUUAGUUAUUAGUUGUUUUUUAAUUAUGCAUUUUCCUUUUUAUUUUUGUUUUAUUAAGAGAAAAGUUUAAUAUCUAGUCUGAAGGAUGUUAAUAUAUGUUAAUGUAAUGAACACUUAAACGCAUGAUACAUUGAGGACAAUUAAAAAUAAAUCCUUAACAGUUUUAUAAUGAGAAUGAUAGGUUAUACUGCUGUAUUGUUACCUUUUAAAAAUGUGUUUGAAAAUAAAGUUUUUUGUCCCAAAAAUAUUGUAAUAGGUUGCUGUCUUUACAUUUACCAUAUCAACACCAUAGUAAUAUAACACUACACUGAAGUUAACAAAUUACACUGAGGGAGUUAAUUCUUAACAAAUAAAAAAUAUUUAACACUUAUUAGAGUUUUAACUCCGUAUAGAGUCAAUGUGCCAACACUUUCAAAAGUGUUCAAUAAAAUCUUAUAGUUAUUCUGAGGUUCCAGAUUUUGCUGUGUGGUUGGAUUUAUAAAAUUAAUAUAAAUGUUUAAUAAAUCGUAGUAUUGUGUUGUGUUGUAUCACACAUUAUUAGUUGUUUGUCACACAACAUAUAGGCUAGACCUUUUUGCGGGUGGGUAAUAAUUUCCUUUUUUUACCAGCUUUACGACCAGAAGUAUAUUUCAUAUCUGUAGGAAACACUGUCCUGGGAAACUUUACUGAUGCUUACCAGUGACACUCCUAUCUAGUUCACUCUGUACUCAAGCAUAAACACUCAGCAUAUAUCCUGAGACACAGAGACUGGUUCCCAGCCACAGUGAGACUGAUGCCAAAAGACAUAACAGCAGGAAAAAUAUGUCUGUAAAAUAACAAGCAUUUUGUACAGUAUCCCUGUCAUAGACUUACUGCAAACGUACUUCAUCUUUAUAAUCUUUAUUUCUGUCAUAUAGAAGGUGUGCAAUAUUGUUAUAUAGUAAUUAUAUUACAGCACAGUCUAUGUGAAGUUUAUUUAUUAG
This is a long non-coding RNA of Misgurnus anguillicaudatus (oriental weatherfish), 1367 nucleotides long. RefSeq lists it as uncharacterized. NCBI's taxonomy places the organism in Eukaryota, Metazoa, Chordata, Actinopteri, Cypriniformes, Cobitidae. The record is from RefSeq and is a predicted model, not a curated record.